GAAGCAGCAGCCUUGACACCAAACAUUUUAACACAGUAAUUCUACGCUGUGUAUUUAUUCUUAGAAAAUGAAAGGACAGGAGCAAACAGAAGUAUGGAGAAAAGAAGAUAUUUGCUGCAUUUCUGUGUAUAAGGAGAAAAAUGAAAGCUAACAUUUUAUGUGACUGGUUGGUGACCUUGGCUUCCCCGCCCCUGGGCAUGAGGCCAAUGGCCUUGCUCCAGCUGAUGAAGAGCAGGCAGAGAUGCUGUGCUAUUUCCUGGUUGUACUCUCUCCCUCGGCCACCUGCAAUGUUUUGUGAAGGGGCUGCUCCAUCAUUCUGCAUCCCAAAGGCCCCUGCUGACCGAGGACAGACACAGAAUGGGAAUAAGAAACUUUUGAGCAGCAUGACAUUGAUGUGGCCACGACCAUCAGCACGUAUGGUGUGCCAGGCUUCAUGUUAGAUGACUCACAG
Long non-coding RNA from Zalophus californianus (California sea lion), 451 nucleotides. RefSeq lists it as uncharacterized. Lineage: Eukaryota; Metazoa; Chordata; Mammalia; Carnivora; Otariidae. The transcript is spliced from 3 exons. The record is from RefSeq and is a predicted model, not a curated record.